Molecule: ribosomal RNA, 1072 nt
Filed under: Foraminifera environmental sample
Lineage: Eukaryota; Foraminifera
Description: partial small subunit ribosomal RNA
Source: RNAcentral
GUCGAGCAUGUGGCUUAAUUUGACCCAACGCGGGAAAUCUUACCGGGUCCGGACACACUGAGGAUUGACAGGCAAUCGUUCAUUCCAUUAAAUUUUUAAUUUAUUGCGAGAGAUCUCUAAAUAUGAUACCCCUUUCGUGAAUAUGUGAUAGGGGGCGCGUGCGCGCUCAUAUCUCGGGGAGAGAUGUGUGUGCUUAUGUGCGUUUCAAUAGGGCUAUAUAUAAAUAACGUGCGUGUGAAAGCACUUUGACCCCUCGUGUGUGUCUGUGAUAUUUCAUCUCAAUGUGAUAGCGCGCGUCUCUGGUUUUGUUUUACCUCACAAUAGUGGGACCGUGAAAGCAACGAGCGUGAGCGAGAGAAAAUUUCUUUUACCUGUGCGAGAAUACUCUUUUUAGAGAGGUAUAAUUGAGAUCGUGGCAUACUCGUGGACAUAUGUGUCUCGUGUGAGAAAGUGAUAUCCGCUCACUUCUCCACACAAUAUACGACGCGGAAGCAUAGAGUGUAGAGUGUGGUGCGUCUAGAGAGAGAUAUAUCUCACUUUAUGUGCGGUGCGCUCAGUGCCCGCUUUCCACUCGGGACAUGUGUCGUGCCAUGUGUAUUAGAGACUCGCACAACGCGCGGAGAGACGCGGUGUGCAUAGUGCGCUCUCUUGCGCUCUCUCGCUCAGAGACUCUGUGCUCUCGCGCGCUCGUGUGCGGAGAGCGAUAUCAUCUCACUCAGAGGGCGGAUAUACGUAUAUCCACAGAAUCGGGAUAUCGCGCGAGAAGAGCACGUGUGAGAAAAGGACAGCAAAGGACGAGACCGUAAAAGGGCCGCUGUGGCUGGCGUUUCUCAUAGGCUCCGCCCCCGUGACGAAUACACAAAACUCGACGCUCAUGUCAGAGGUGGCAAACCGCGACGAGCAUUACGAGAUCCGGGCGUUCCCCGUGAAAGUCUCCUGGGCUCUCCGUGUUCGACGUGCGUUACGAUCUGUCGCUUUCCUUGGAAGCGGGGCUUCUAGCCAGGUGAGAUUCAGUCGGGAAGCGUUCUCCACUGAGUGGACACCUCGGUACGACGUGCCUUAACGGAUCGCU